Molecule: long non-coding RNA, 5982 nt
Organism: Bos taurus (domestic cattle)
Lineage: Eukaryota; Metazoa; Chordata; Mammalia; Artiodactyla; Bovidae
Source: Ensembl
CAUUUAGGCUUCUGAGGACGUCUUCUGAAAGCAACCCAAUUAUGUUGCUUUGUGAAUGUGUAAUUUAAUGUAAACAUUAAAAAUAUUCUACAAUUUGUAGCUAUUUGGCGUUUAUAAAUUUUAAAAAAAUAUUCUGAGAGUUUCAACAAAUAGAAGAGUCCUGGGGUGCUCUUGAUCCCUGCAAGACUCCAGUGGUUAGAAGAAUUCAGAAAAUGUUGCUCUAUUCUAUUCAGCGUUGAUCUGGGGGGUUUCUUCACAAGUGGCUCCCUCUGAAGCUGGUGGAGAUAGUGGCAAAGUUAGAGUUAGGUCCAGGAGUGGCAAAAAAAAAAAAAAAAAGGAAAGGAAAAAAAGAUCAAGAAGCCUUUCGGUAAGGAGGGAGAAGACAUUUGGUUGGAGAAACAAUACCGAAAAAAAUAAAGAGAGACUGGGUGGACAUACUAAGACCAGACCUAGGAGAAACAGGAGGAGUUCCAUGGUCUCUGGGUCCACAACAGGAAACCUGGAUUUUAAUUCAGAUUUGUGUGUGUGUGUGUGUGUGUGUGUGUGCCUUUCUUAGAAAGGAGAAAUCAGGGAAGUUACAAAGCCAAGGUCUUAUUAAUUACAUUUUUUUUUUUAAAUCUUGAAAGCACCUCCCAGGGUGCCUGCCCUAGCGGGAUGUUCAGGGAGAGCCUGAGUUCCCUUGUUUUAGGAGAAAAGCCCUGUCACUUCCUUCUCCCCUCAGGCCAGGCAGGCAGCUCUGGUAGCUCUCAGAUCCCUGGAAGCGAUACCCAGCUUCACGGUCAGGGGAACAAGGAGAGGAAUUCAGAGUUUCCUGGUAGGUGCGCUGACCCGCGAGGGGAAGCAGCCCCUUGGCAAAGCAAGGAACAAGAAUUGCUGGUAGGUUCACCCUCCCUCCCCAGAACCGGGGAGGGUUCUGGAGAGCUGGUGGUGUUCGGGAGAAAGGGGGGCCUUUGUGAAAAGUGUAACUAACGUCAGCGGGUUGCUCGGAAUGACUGCUCCCACCGCGCGUUCAAGUUCUCCUCCUGGAAACGCGAGGACUCUCUCUGCGGGACACCGAGGGCCUGUUAAUCUCAGCGGGUGAAGAGGACUGGCGUCUGGGAGACCCGCCAAUAGAAAAAGCCCCUGGGGCUGCUUGCUAACGAGCUCAUCCAUCCAGGCAGGUUAAAUGACCGGCAACUGGGUCGCCCGCAGACACAGCUGAAGGUUAGAGAGCCAAACCUGUGUGACCGUAACCGUGACGGUUUCUUCUACACGUGAUUCACAGUGGGGAGGGCGGGAGAAUAGACUAGAAGGGAGAGAAUGCCUCUUUUUCUUUCUUUUCUAGUAGUGGGUGUGGUAGAGCCUGAGCAUCAAGUCAGAAAUGUAUUUCUCAGAAAUCUAAAAAUAAAGUGUCAUAGAUUUAAUUCUUAAUAUUUCAAAACGAUUUUUGACUUGCACCAUCUAACUAAUUUCAUUGAUUAUAAGAUGGCAAGCCUCUUGUUAGUGAAUGAACAUAUGGUCUUGGGGGUGUUCCCCCAUCCCCCCAAUAUAGGCAGAAAACAGAACGCUGGGAUUUGCUGUCUGACAAGUAUAUGCGAUCUUUGGCAUCCUUUUUUCUGUUUAUGCAUUAAGAGAGGCCACAUGGAAAUGUGGAUGAGGCAUGGCAUUCCAAGAUGUCAAUAAAUACCAAACACGAAAAACUAAACUACUUGUUUGGGAUGAAUGCUGUUCUUUGCCUCUUGGUUUCAACUCAGAAAGUUGAGAAGGAAGGGAGGGAGAGGGGCAGGAAGGAAGCCUCUUCAGAGGGCAUGCUGUAAUGCGUUCCUGCUUUCCACGUGCACUCACUGGUGACUUUCUUCUUUAGAACUCUGUUUUUAUCUUUGUUCUCUUUAUACCCUCUUUCAACAUUUUUCAGCUUAAAAAUGGGUGAGGAGGCAUGAAGAAGGUGAAGUACUCAGUCUGGGUCCCCAUAUGACCCUGGUUUCAAGGAGAGUUUCUUUAGCCCUUGGGUAAAGAAUCCACCUGCCAACGCAGGAGACACAGGAAAUAUGAGUUCCAUCCCUGGGUCGGGAAAAUCUCCUGGAGAAGGAAAUGGCAGCUCACUUCACUAUUCUUGCCUGGAGAAUUCCAUGGACAGAGGAGUCUGGUGGGCUACAGUCCAUGGGGUCACAGAGUGGAAAUCGACUGAGCAUGCGUACUACACCCCUGGCGCAGGUUUAAUCCCCCACCCACUCUCUCAGGCUACUUCCUCUCCCAUUCCUGGGCUUUCGCAGGCACAGAGCCCCUCUUAGGGUGGGCAAGGAGCAGAAACACCAUUUGUUUCUGGCCUCAUGGACAUCAAGGGCCUCACAUAUGGCCUUUGGGCAUCAUCUCCAGAUGAGUACCCACAUGGGGUCACUGAAUUUGUGCAUACAUGUCAAGAGCAUUGGUUUAUUAAAGGAUCUUUAAAACACACCACCAUUCGAAUUCUUGUAACUGUUUUGGCAUGUCUUCAUUUCAAAAAUAGGCUCAGAGCGCUCACUGAAGUAAUUUAGGCCUCUUUCACCCUCUGUGAAAGUGCACCGAGGUGCGCUGUCAUCCGAAGCACAGAAGCAGAGAGUAAUCGUUCCUGCACACAGCACUAUCCUCGUUGAACUAGGGUGGGGUGUAGAAAUUCUUCGCCUGUGAAUAUAUAUAUUCGUCCCCACUUAGAAGCCAAAGGAAAGAUGACGGAGUCUCCGUCGUAGGCGCACCCUUGGUCUCCAGGAAGACUUUCUGCGCUCUGUUCACAGCCUUCUCCGGAGCCGCCAGUGGAGUCUGUGGGUUCGGGGCCGAGGUGGCUGGUCCCCGCCAGGCUCCAUCCUCCCUGCGCCCUGCGACCCCUCACGCAGGCCGGCGCGGGGUUUCCUUACUCUGUUCCCUCCUCCUCGAAGGACAGCCGCACCACCAACCACAGACGGCCCUUGUUAAAAGGAAACGUGACGAACCACGGCUGUUUCCCCUUUGAGAUAAUGCCCACGCCCGGAGAGGUGCCCAACCUGGGGUGGGUUAUCACAGAGGGGUUUAGAUGGAGCCGGCGCUGGCGACCGCGUCCAAGCAGCCCAGAGGAAAUGCGGGAUAGUUAGAAGAAGAAAACGAGGUUGGGGACCUUGAUAGCGGCUUUUCAUCUUCGGAUGCCCUAGAGUAGCCGAGGAGAUAGGGGAAGGGGUUCCCGGUGGGAGCAGACCACGGGCUACUGGAGAAGACCACUGGUUACUGGAGGAGACUGCGACCUGCGGAGGGAAGGGCAGUGUCGCCUCCCUCCCCGGUCAGUGCCGCCACCAGAGUCUCGCUCCUGCGGUCACGGUCACGGAGACUAUCCCAAGGGCCCGGGGGCUGCCGCUGCCAGCGCCGCGCUAGGGCAGGAGGAUCCAAAGGAGAGUUGGGCCAAUUGCCUGUCUUACUGAAUUCUGGAGCAGGUGGCUCAGGCUCUAGGUUCAUCCACCUCUGCUGCUGCUGCUGCUAAGUCGCUUCAGUCAUGUCCGACUCUGUGCGACCCCACAGAUGGCAGCCGAAGAGGUUCCCCCGUCCCUGGGAUUCUCCAGGCAAGAACACUGGAGGGGGUUACCAUUUCCUUCUCCAGUGCAUGAAAGUGAAAAGUGAAAGUGAAGUCACUCAGUCGUGUCCAACUCUUAGCGACCCCAUGGACUACAGCCCACCAGGCUCCUCCGUCCAUGGGAUUUUCCAGGCAAGAGUACUGGAGUGGGGUGCCACUGCCUUCUCCACAUCCACCUCACUAGAACUGAUUCAAAUGACUGAGGAUUAUUCCAUUAUAUAUGUAUGUGUGUGUGUGUAUAUUUAUAUAUACCGUAUCAUUUUUAUCCAUUCAUCUGUAAAUGGACAUCUAGGUUGCUUCCAUGUCCUGGCUAUUGUAAACAGUGCUGCAGUGAACAUCAGGGUAUGUAUGUCUUUUAGAACUGUGGCUUUCUCAGAGUGUAUGCCCAGUGGUGGGAUGGUUGGGUCAUAUGGUAGAUUUAUUCCUCGUUUUUAAGGGCUCUCCAUGCUGUUCUCCAUAAUGUCUGUAUCAGUUUACACUCACAUCAGUAGUGUAGGAGGGUUCCCUUUUCUCCAUACCUUCUCCAGCAUUUCUUGCUUGUGGAUUUUUUGAUGAUGGCCAUUCUGACUGAUGUGAGGUGAUACCUCACUGUGGUUCUGAUUUGCAUUUCUCUAGUAACUAGUAAUGUUGAGCAUCUUUUCAUGUGUUUAUUGGCCAUCCAUGUGUCUUUGGAGAAUUGUCUGUUUAGAUCUUCUGCUUAUUUUUUUGAUUGGGCUGUUUGUUUUUCUGAUAUUGCACUGUAUGAGCUGCUUAUAUAUUUUGGAGGUUAAUCCUUUGUCAGUUUUUUCGUUUGCAAUUAUUUUCUCCCAUUCUGAGGGCUGUCUUUUCAUCUUGUUUUAAGGUAUGUAAAGUCCCUCUUUCAGGGAAGACUAGGAGAUGGGCAUUUCUGUCUCUUCCCUUUGCACUGAGCCUGAGGGUGAUAGCUGUUAAGAACUGUUUCUAGUUUACUACCGUCCUGUUGAGCCCAUGAACAGACAUCCUGCUGGCCACCAGAGCCAGCGUGGGAUGUGUCCUCUGGGCAGCUGCCAUGAAAGCCAAGAUGCCAGGUGUGUGUACAACAUCCUUUCUAUGGAGACGCUGGUAGCCUGGAGCAGGGUAGAGGAAGAGCAUGGAAUGGUUCCCACUGGUCUCUGGAGAUGAUUGCGGUAGGCCCCCACAUAUGUUGGAUUAGAAGCCUUACCCUCAAGCUACAGCUUUUAAGAUCUGCAAACAGGCCUCUUUCACAGAAAGAUGGGGCUUUUCUGUCUGCUGUCUCUGUGCUGUGUCCUGGGUCAGAUAGCUAGUGAGUCUGUGCAAGCGCUUUAAACACUCUUCUUCCUUCACUGUAGCCUUAUGAGUCUUAGGGACAGGAAGCCCUGCUGGCUUUCAGAGGAAGGUACUUUGAGGGGCCAUUUCUUAAGUGGAAGUCUUAAAAGUUGGGGCACAAGGUGUGUAAUACAAAUCCUUUACUCUUCAUGGAGAAGCUAGGAGUUAGGAGUCCCCCAUCCCCAGUUGUUGUCAACUACACCCUGGUGGAGUUUGGUGAGACGGUGUUUCAACCUCUCUAGCCUGUUUCAAUGUGUGUGUGUCUAAGAGUUGCUCGGCUAGUUUGGGAAUUGUUCUAUGCGUAGCUGUAGAUUCAGAGGGAGGAGGUAAAUUAGGGAGAUUCCUACGUUGCUGUUUUGAACUGGAUUCUAUUUUUAAAAAUCUAUUUGUUAUAGCAGCUUGAGCUACAUCCUAGCCAUAAUAAAAAAUAAUCCCUGGGAGUUUCUAUCAUUAUGAUCUCCAAUAAUUGUAUGAAGGAUAAAAACCAGUUACCUAUUUUGUUGUCAUUUGCUGUUGUGUCAGACUCUUUGUGACCCCACGGACUGACUAUAGCCCGCCAGGCUCCCCUGUCCAAGGGAUUUCCCAGGCAAGAAUACUGGAGUGGUUUGCCAUUUCCUCCUCCAGGGGAUCUUUCCAGACCAGGGAUCGAACCCACAUCUGCUGAAUUGGCAGGAGGAUUCUUUACUACUGAGCCACCAAGGAAGCUCAGUUACCUAUUUAAUUAGUAUCAAAUAACUAAUUUGCCAUAAUUUCUCACUUUUCCUCAUCACUUUUUUUUAAACUGAGGUAUAAUUAACAAUCAGUAUUAUGCAUAGAUCUUAGAUGUUUAGUUGGAAGAAUUUUGACAAUUCCAUAUACCUGUAUAACCACAACUCAAAGCAGUAUACGGAAUAUAUCUGUCAUCUUAAAGGUUCUCUUUUGUUCAGCUUGAAUACAUCAACUUCUGUUCAUCCCCAGGCAAUCAUUUUAUCAUUUCUACCAUUACAGAUUAGUUGUGCCCAUUCUUGAUAGUUUUGCCUGAAUUUGAUAGGAAUGGAAUCAUAUGUGUAAUUUCUUUUGCUUAACAUAAUGUUUUCAUCCACAUGGUUACAUGUAUCAAUAUUCUUUUUUUUUUUUUAAGAAAU